Molecule: unclassified non-coding RNA, 330 nt
Filed under: plant metagenome
Description: partial contains 5.8S ribosomal RNA, internal transcribed spacer 2, and large subunit ribosomal RNA
Rfam family: 5.8S ribosomal RNA (bases 1-106)
Source: RNAcentral
GAAAUUCGAUAAGUAAUGUGAAUUGCAGAAUUCCGUGAAUCAUCGAAUCUUUGAACGCACAUUGCGCCCUCUGGUAUUCCGGGGGGGCAUGCCUGUCCGAGCGUCAUUGCGAACCCCUCAAGCACGGCUUGUGUGAUGGGCCCUCCCGCGUCUUGGUCGUCAAGACGGGCCCGAAAUGCAGUGGCGGCUUCGCGGUUAUCCGAUCAGCCAGAGCGUAUGGGGACUCUCUCUCUUGUCACACGCCCGCGGCGCGGACCGACGCCUGUCGACCUUUAUUCAUCUUCUCUCGGUUGACCUCGGAUCAGGUAGGGAUACCCGCUGAACUUAAGC